RNAcentral lists this long non-coding RNA (429 nucleotides) under Olea europaea subsp. europaea. Lineage: Eukaryota; Viridiplantae; Streptophyta; Magnoliopsida; Lamiales; Oleaceae. The record is from RNAcentral.
UAUUAUUAUUAUUAUUAUUAUUAUUAUUAUUAUUAUUAUUAUUAUUAUAAGUACAUGUAUACAUCUUUUAAUAAAGUUUUCUCAAAAUAGAAGUUUCAAAAUUUUUGAAUUUUCUUAAAUUUAUAAUUGUCAAAAAUAUUAUCUUUCAUUUUGUCGAUUUGAAUAACGCACAAUUAAAAGACUUCUAGAUGAGGAGGGGGGUCACAGAGGGACCGCUUAAAUCUCAAGCUUUUUUUUAGACAAUUUAGGUCCUUUUGACAAAGCCUUUCAAUUUUGCAAUUAUGCAAUUGAACAAAAUUCAAACAAUAAAUUGAACGUGGAAUCUCUUAAAAUAUUAUUUUUUUCAAAGGUCCAUUUUUUUUUUUAAAACAUCCCCAAAAGCUAAAGUUAAAACACAUAGAAAUUUAUCAUAUGUAAGAUUUAAAUCAU